This 1003-nucleotide long non-coding RNA is filed under the name Anser brachyrhynchus (Pink-footed goose). Its description in RNAcentral is "lncRNA (ENSABRG00000010355.1)". The record is from RNAcentral. Lineage: Eukaryota; Metazoa; Chordata; Aves; Anseriformes; Anatidae.
CCCCACGCAGCCAGACCUUAAAGCUUCUUUGCAAAGCAAUUUCAGUCGAAGCAUUAACAAUCAUAUUUUACUUUUGACAGUCAUUUCUACUAUGCCGAGGCGUAUCUUAUGCCUCUCUGCCUUGAAGAAUUGGUGAAUGGUGUCAAAUGCAUUCAUUGUAGAGAUAGCCCACUUGGCAUGGCCUAGCAUUUACAGGUAAAUACAUUUAGGUCUGAACAUAAUCCUUGUAACGAGGACUACCUCAUGCCAGUAGAAAUUCAGAGUUAAACAUGUUCAUGGGGCGCAAGUUUUAGUUGGAUUUCAUUCCCCUCGCAUUUACUGAAGAUGAGUUUGCUGCUUGUAUGGUUAGAAGGACUGCUCACAGCCCAAGAGGUUUGUCACUGCCAGCCUGCUGGAAUUAAACCCUUUAAAGGUCUGUCAUGGACUCAGACUGCUCCCUAGGUAAUGCAGCAGUGCUGCUGCCUCCAAUUUUCUGCCUGUUCUGUGUGUAAAAUUAAAGACUUCAUUCUUCAGUCUGUCAAAAAUGGUUUUCAUCUAUCCUUAGGCUAGAAAAAUUGGUAGUCGAUGAAAAGCCAAAGAGUGAGAUGUUUACCCCUGACAGGGAAGCACACGCUGUAAGAAGUGAAUCUCAUUAAUGUUGUCUUUGUGGUCACAGCUGAAGCAGGAAGAUGUACUUGUUUAAGUGUGCCUCAUCUGCAUACCUUCAGCACACCUGUGCCUGCCCAGCCUCCCGUGGAGAUGCCCAGGGUGCCAGGUUAGUGGCACAGAGAUCACCGUGAUCUCAUUUACCCUGCAUAGCUUCCUGCAGGAUAGCUGCAGCCAAAGAUCCUGGAGGGCUACAACAGCUUACCCACCCGCUGACCCUGGACUUCUGGUGUACACAGCAUCAGUCAGAGAUCUCAAAGCACAUGAGAGGAAGCUUGAGUAUUCUCUUAAUGUUGAUGGAAAACCAAGGCAUGGAGCAAUUCAGUCACUGUUCAGCUUUACAAUGUCAAAGCAGGUC